RNAcentral lists this ribosomal RNA (253 nucleotides) under uncultured bacterium. RNAcentral's name for it is "partial 16S ribosomal RNA". It matches the Rfam family "Bacterial small subunit ribosomal RNA", at positions 524 to 776 of the family's 1533-position model. The record is from RNAcentral.
UACGUAGGGUGCAAGCGUUGUCCGGAAUUAUUGGGCGUAAAGAGCUCGUAGGCGGUCUGUCGCGUCGGCUGUGAAAUCCCGGAGCUCAACUCCGGGUCUGCAGUCGAUACGGGCAAACUGGAGUACUGCAGGGGAGACUGGAAUUCUCGGUGUAGCAGUGAAAUGCGUAGAUAUCGAGAGGAACACCAGUGGCGAAGGCGAGUCUCUGGACGACACCUGACACUGAGGCACGAAAGCUAGGGGAGCAAACAGG